AUUGAACGCUGGCGGCAUGCUUUACACAUGCAAGUCGAACGGCAGCACGGGGGCAACCCUGGUGGCGAGUGGCGAACGGGUGAGUAACACAUCGGAACGUGUCCAGUUGUGGGGGAUAACCCAUCGAAAGGUGGGCUAAUACCGCAUGAGCUGGCAACAGGAAAGCGGGGGACCCGCAAGGGCCUUGUGCGAUUGGAGCGGCCGAUGUCCGAUUAGCUAGUUGGUGGGGUAAAGGCCUACCAAGGCUUCGAUCGGUAGCUGGUCUGAGAGGAUGAUCAGCCACACUGGGACUGAGACACGGCCCAGACUCCUACGGGAGCAGCAGUGGGGAAUUUUGGACAAUGGGGGCAACCCUGAUCCAGCCAUGCCGCGUGAGUGAAGAAGGCCUGGU
This 391-nucleotide ribosomal RNA is filed under the name uncultured bacterium. RNAcentral describes it as "bacterial SSU rRNA". It matches the Rfam family "Bacterial small subunit ribosomal RNA", at positions 29 to 420 of the family's 1533-position model. The record is from RNAcentral.